UGGUUCGUUGCGCAAAUAGUAAAACGUAGUAAUGAACCCAUCUGAUCAUCAAUUACAAAGGGGUGUGAUAUUCACACACCCAAUUUUACUUUUCACACACCUUUCUAAUUUUUGGCCAUCGGAUAGGAUGAAUUGAAGAAAAUCAACGGAUAGUAAUUAAUAAGGGGUGUGUAAGAAGUAAAAUAGUUUGUGUGGAUAGGACACCCCUUACAUAAAUCCAUGACAACUGACCAACAGUGCAGUGUAGUUGAAGACGAUGCAUGCAGCUAAUUGCUCUCGUUCCUUUAACAACAAAAGGGUUGAACACGACACAUUAAGUGCAUGUUGAAUGCUCUUAAUAAUUAAUAUAUAUUUGCAUUGUUUUUAUUAAAAGUGUUUCAUUUUUUUUCUGAAAUGAUUUUAGUUAAACUCCUGUUUCUCAGUUUUGACUAAUAUUUGGGCAAAUUACUAAUGUGAGGGAUCACUGUGGCCCUAACCUAAUUUUGGAAAAUUUUGAUGUCGAUAAGAUAAUUGAACCCUGCAUCACAGAGACAAGGGUUCCCUACAAUAUUGUUUUAUCAUUCUUGGUCUUUAAUAUUAUUUUAUUGUUCAUUGAGAUUGCUAACACUA
This 609-nucleotide long non-coding RNA is filed under the name Malus domestica (apple). RNAcentral's name for it is "long non-coding RNA (MDOM_LNC011392)". Lineage: Eukaryota; Viridiplantae; Streptophyta; Magnoliopsida; Rosales; Rosaceae. The record is from RNAcentral.